GGGGUUCUGACUCAGUGUUAGAGCGCUCUCCUAGCAUAUGUGAGGUGCUGGGUUCAAUCCUCAGAACCACA
RNAcentral lists this transfer RNA (71 nucleotides) under Marmota monax (woodchuck). RNAcentral's name for it is "tRNA.Ala". The record is from RNAcentral. Lineage: Eukaryota; Metazoa; Chordata; Mammalia; Rodentia; Sciuridae.